Molecule: ribosomal RNA, 615 nt
Filed under: Bacillus sp. (in: firmicutes)
Lineage: Bacteria; Bacillati; Bacillota; Bacilli; Caryophanales; Bacillaceae
Description: bacterial SSU rRNA
Rfam family: Bacterial small subunit ribosomal RNA
Source: RNAcentral
AUACAUGCAAGUCGAGCGGACAGAUGGGAGCUUGCUCCCUGAUGUUAGCGGCGGACGGGUGAGUAACACGUGGGUAACCUGCCUGUAAGACUGGGAUAACUCCGGGAAACCGGGGCUAAUACCGGAUGGUUGUUUGAACCGCAUGGUUCAAACAUAAAAGGUGGCUUCGGCUACCACUUACAGAUGGACCCGCGGCGCAUUAGCUAGUUGGUGAGGUAACGGCUCACCAAGGCAACGAUGCGUAGCCGACCUGAGAGGGUGAUCGGCCACACUGGGACUGAGACACGGCCCAGACUCCUACGGGAGGCAGCAGUAGGGAAUCUUCCGCAAUGGACGAAAGUCUGACGGAGCAACGCCGCGUGAGUGAUGAAGGUUUUCGGAUCGUAAAGCUCUGUUGUUAGGGAAGAACAAGUACCGUUCGAAUAGGGCGGUACCUUGACGGUACCUAACCAGAAAGCCACGGCUAACUACGUGCCAGCAGCCGCGGUAAUACGUAGGUGGCAAGCGUUGUCCGGAAUUAUUGGGCGUAAAGGGCUCGCAGGCGGUUUCUUAAGUCUGAUGUGAAAGCCCCCGGCUCAACCGGGGAGGGUCAUUGGAGACUGGGGAACUUGAGUG